RNAcentral lists this non-coding RNA (21 nucleotides) under Arabidopsis thaliana (thale cress). The record is from RNAcentral. Lineage: Eukaryota; Viridiplantae; Streptophyta; Magnoliopsida; Brassicales; Brassicaceae.
UGAUUUGGUAGUCUGGCGAAG